This is an RNA transcript of Populus nigra (black poplar), 858 nucleotides long. RefSeq lists it as uncharacterized. NCBI's taxonomy places the organism in Eukaryota, Viridiplantae, Streptophyta, Magnoliopsida, Malpighiales, Salicaceae. The record is from RefSeq and is a predicted model, not a curated record. The transcript is spliced from 3 exons.
ACAGUCUACCCUCUAGCCCAAAACCAUCCCCCUCGAUCCUCUCCCUCCCUCUCUUCACUCUCUCUAAACAAACUACCAUGGCCAUCAUUAACACCAAGACCAUAAUAGUCUCUCUUUGCACACUGAGUUUGGUGUUCGUCUUCUCUCCACAACUCUCUUUCUCCUCCUCGAUCCACGACCUGCUUAUCUCAAAAGGGUUACCAGCUGGUCUACUCCCAAAGGAAGUGAAGUCCUACACCGUGUCUGAAGAUGGCUACUUGGAGGUGUUUCUUGAUGGUCCAUGCUUGACCAGAUAUGAGAACAGGGUCUUGUUUGAAAGUGUAGUGAGGGCUAAUCUCACUUAUCUUAGUCUUUCUGGAGUUGUUGGCUUGUCUCAAGAAGAACUCUUUCUUUGGCUACCAGUGAAAGACAUCACAGUUGAUGACCCAAGAUCAGGACUUAUUUUGUUUGACAUUGGGGUUGCUCAUAAGCAACUGUCCUUAUCACUCUUUGAAGAUCCACCUAACUGUAAGCCUCAAGUUAUGGAAUGGAUAAGGAAACAGCAGUUGUGCUGUGGGCAUGGUUAGGAAGCUGAAGCUGAUCACAUGAAUCUUAUUACCUGCCAUGCCUGUUGCUUUCACUGGCUUGUGUUUCAGUCCCAGAAACUGGUCACAGAGUGAGUCGAAGAAUCAUGCGAGGAAGGAGAGAGGGUUUGAGGCUGUGAGAUAGAAGAUGCAUGCCAUGCUGUUCCAACUUUGUCAUUUUCCAUGGAAUGUUUUGUUUAAUGAUUCCAUAAUACAAUCUUAGAUUAGAUUAGAGGUUUUGUUAGUUAUAUAAAGUAUAAAAAUGGCAAUCAUGGAAUCUGGUGUCCUUAUCAAA